GGUUGUAUAGUGUAGUGGCUAUCACACCAGAUUUUGAUUAUUGUUGAAGAUUUCUGGUAACCCCGGUUCGAUCCCGGGUACGACCU
Transfer RNA from Lipomyces starkeyi NRRL Y-11557, 86 nucleotides. It matches the Rfam family "tRNA". From Rfam's summary of the family: Transfer RNA (tRNA) molecules are approximately 80 nucleotides in length. Their secondary structure includes four short double-helical elements and three loops (D, anti-codon, and T loops). The record is from Rfam. Lineage: Eukaryota; Fungi; Ascomycota; Lipomycetes; Lipomycetales; Lipomycetaceae.